CCGAGUUUUCAACUCCCCAACCCGAAUGUGAACCUACCAAACGUUGCUUCGGCGGACACGCCCCGGCGUCCGGACGGCCACGCGCCGGCCGCGGCCCGGGUCCAGGCGGCCGCCGGAGACCCAAAACCCUCUGUAUCUUGCAAGAGUCUUCUGAAUCCGCCGCGAGGCAAAACAAACGAAUCA
This 183-nucleotide unclassified non-coding RNA is filed under the name uncultured Cordycipitaceae. RNAcentral's name for it is "sequence contains ITS1". Lineage: Eukaryota; Fungi; Ascomycota; Sordariomycetes; Hypocreales; Cordycipitaceae. The record is from RNAcentral.